GGAGAGAUGGAUGAGCGGUUUAAGUCGCACGCCUGGAAAGCGUGUAUAGGUUCAUAGCCUAUCCGGGGUUCGAAUCCCCGUCUCUCCGCCA
RNAcentral lists this transfer RNA (91 nucleotides) under Oxalobacteraceae bacterium. Its description in RNAcentral is "tRNA-Ser". It matches the Rfam family "tRNA". Rfam says of the family: Transfer RNA (tRNA) molecules are approximately 80 nucleotides in length. Their secondary structure includes four short double-helical elements and three loops (D, anti-codon, and T loops). The record is from RNAcentral. Lineage: Bacteria; Pseudomonadati; Pseudomonadota; Betaproteobacteria; Burkholderiales; Oxalobacteraceae.